This is a long non-coding RNA of Mauremys mutica (yellowpond turtle), 732 nucleotides long. RefSeq lists it as uncharacterized. The record is from RefSeq and is a predicted model, not a curated record. The transcript has 3 exons. NCBI's taxonomy places the organism in Eukaryota, Metazoa, Chordata, Testudines, Geoemydidae.
UACCUUUCCUUGUGCCAUCUCCCUUCAUAGGACACAGGCAGGGUGCUAGGUGUGCAUCCUCACAGGCUAGGUCUUGGGAGCCAUGGAGAAGGAAGACCAGAGAAAAAUCAUGAGGGGCAGUGGGUGCUGAGGUGGUGCGGUGACUCUGAUUACUCAUCUCUGUUCAUCGAGUCGGGCUCAGGUGCACUUCCAGAGGAACUGUCCAGGAGCCCCAGCCCGAGGAGAAGCUGGCAGAAGUGGAUCUGAUCAGCCUGAACAUCCUUCUAAGCAGACAUGAGCAGUCCUUAGCUUUCUGCCUCGCACAUAACACUUCACGACUUUUAGCAGCACGGCUGAAGCUUAAGAUAAAUGCAUGGUAGAGGCUGAGGACAGGCGGCUGCUUCACUUUAGUACCACAGACAAAGAAGUCAAGGGUAAGAGCCCACCCCUGUUGUGAGAUGGAAAGCGCACAAGAGCCAUGAGACAGCAAGCAUUGUUGAUGCCAGGAUAUGCAGAUACCGUCGAGCUGGAAGUGGAGCACCCAUCACCAUCAGUGAGAAGUGUCUGGUUUGGGGAGGACUCUGUUAACGGCCCACCUGCCUCCAGGAUGAGAAUUGUCGUUAGCUGGGGCUUGGUUUGUAGGAAAAGGUUCCUGAGUAGCUGUGGUUAGGAGGGAGACAAGGUCCCCAUUUCAGGGGCUGCUCAUUUCUCUGACCAUAAAUGGUGUUUUCUCUCUAGCAGUCAGGGCUGGCU